Molecule: ribosomal RNA, 1239 nt
Filed under: metagenome
Description: bacterial LSU rRNA
Rfam family: Bacterial large subunit ribosomal RNA
Source: RNAcentral
UGAAUACGAGACGCUACGGCGUCGAAGCAGUCGAUGUCAUACUUCCAAGAAAAGCUUGCAAUGUCAUAAACAAAUAAUGCCUGUACCAUAACCGACACAGGUGGGUAGGUAGAGUAUACUAAGGGGCGCGAGAUAACUCUCUCUAAGGAACUCGGCAAAAUGACUCCGUAACUUCGGGAGAAGGAGUGCCUUAUUUAUAAGGUUGCAAUAACAAGAUCCAAGCAACUGUUUAUCAAAAACACAGGUCUCCGCUAAGUCGUAAGACGAUGUAUGGGGGCUGACGCCUGCCCAGUGCCAGAAGGUUAAAGAAGUUGGUUAGCAUCCGCGAAGCUGAUAACUGAAGCCCUGGUGAACGGCGGCCGUAACGAUAACGUCCUAAGGUAGCGAAAUUCCUUGUCGGGUAAGUUCCGACCCGCACGAAAGGCGUAAUGAUUUGGAUACUGUCUCGGAGAGGGACUCGGUGAAAUAGACUUGUCUGUGAAGAUGCGGACUACCUGCACCUGGACAGAAAGACCCUAUGAAGCUUUACUGUAACUUGAAAUUGAAAUUGGACUUUAUUUGCGCAGUAUAGGUGGGAGGCGUUGAGAAUAUUCUUGCGGGAAUAUUGGAGCCAUCAGUGAGAUACCACUCUUGUAAUGUUAGAUUUCUAACUUUGCAUCAUUAUCUGGUCAAAGAACAGUUUCAGGCGGGCAGUUUGACUGGGGCGGUCGCCUCCCAAACGGUAACGGAGGCGUACAAAGGUUUCCUCUGAACGGGUAGAAAUCGUAUCUAGAGUGUAAAGGCAUAAGGAAGCUUGACUGUGAGACCUACAAGUCGAGCAGGGACGAAAGUCGGUCUUAGUGAUCUGACGGUGCUGAGUGGAAAGGCCGUCACUCAACGGAUAAAAGUUACUCUAGGAUAACAGGCUGAUCUCCCCCAAGAGUUCACAUCGACGGGGAGGUUUGGCACCUCGAUGUCGGCUCAUCGCAUCCUGGGGCGGUAGUACGUCCCAAGGGUUGGGCUGUUCGCCCAUGAAAGCGGUACGCGAGCUGGGUUCAGAACGUCGUGAGACAGUUCGGUCCAUAUCCGGUGUAGGCGUUAGAAUAUUGAGAGGAGCCUUCUUUAGUACGAGAGGACCGAGAAGGACAUACCUCUGGUGUACCAGUUAUCGUGCCAACGGUAAACGCUGGGUAGCUAUGUAUGGAGAGGAUAACCGCUGAAAGCAUCUAAGUGGGAAGCCCACCUCAAGAUAAGUAUUCU